GACGAACGCUGGCGGCGUGCUUAACACAUGCAAGUCGAACGGUGAACCAGAGCUUGCUCUGGGGAUCAGUGGCGAACGGGUGAGUAACACGUGGGCAACCUGCCCAGACUCUGGGAUAACUCCGGGAAACCGGAGCUAAUACCGGAUACGACUACUUCGGACAUCCGACGGUAGUGGAAAGUUUUUCGGUCUGGGAUGGGCCCGCGGCCUAUCAGCUAGUUGGUGGGGUAAUGGCCUACCAAGGCGACGACGGGUAGCCGGCCUGAGAGGGCGACCGGCCACACUGGAACUGAGACACGGUCCAGACUCCUACGGGAGGCAGCAGUGGGGAAUAUUGCACAAUGGGCGAAAGCCUGAUGCAGCGACGCCGCGUGAGGGACGACGGCCUCGGUUGUAAACCGUCUUUCAGUCA
This 412-nucleotide ribosomal RNA is filed under the name uncultured bacterium. RNAcentral describes it as "bacterial SSU rRNA". It matches the Rfam family "Bacterial small subunit ribosomal RNA", at positions 28 to 442 of the family's 1533-position model. The record is from RNAcentral.